Molecule: transfer RNA, 93 nt
Filed under: Pseudomonadales bacterium
Lineage: Bacteria; Pseudomonadati; Pseudomonadota; Gammaproteobacteria; Pseudomonadales
Description: tRNA-Ser
Source: RNAcentral
GUCCCGGUAAGUUAUUGAUUUAGUUAAUGUGAAUUUCAGGUUUUCGUCUUGAAAAUCCCCGUGUCGGUGGUUCGAUUCCACCUCUGGCCACCA